Molecule: ribosomal RNA, 1428 nt
Filed under: Pneumocystis sp. 'macacae'
Lineage: Eukaryota; Fungi; Ascomycota; Pneumocystomycetes; Pneumocystales; Pneumocystaceae
Description: SSU rRNA
Rfam family: Bacterial small subunit ribosomal RNA
Source: RNAcentral
AAAAGUAAGAGUUUAAUGUUAGCUCCGAAUAAACGCUAUCUAGAGGCAUUACACAUGCAAAUCGUACGUAUUAGUGAUAAUAAGUGGUGAACAGGUGAGUAAAAAUAGGAAUCUACCCAUUCAUAAGGUUAGAUACCUUUUAAAAGAACAAUUGUUUGUGGAUGGAUGAGUCUAUAUUGGGGAGGUAGUUGUAUGGGUAAAUUCCAUACAAGCCAUAGAACCAUAGUUAAAUUUGAAAGAAUGAAUAGCCACAUUGGCUCUGGAACAACAGCCAAGAUUUUCAUAUCAGAAAAUCCAGCAGUGGGGAAUAUUGGUCAAUGAUCGAAAGAUUGAACCAGCUAUCUAGAAGAAAUAAAUUUCUGUUAUUAGAGAGGAUAAUGACGUUAUCUAAUUAUAGUCUCGACUAAAUCUCGUGCCAGCAGUCGCGGUAAUACGAGUGAGGCAAGCGUUAUUCAUAAUUAUUAGGUCUAAAGGGUGCGUAGAUGGUUAGUUAUCUAACUAGAGUCGAAUUGAAGAAUAAAGAAUUUUGAGAGUAGAGAUGAAAUUCAACGAUACUCAAAGGACUGCCAAUGGCGAAAGCAUUAUUCUAAGUAGCGACUGACAUUGAGGUACGUAGGCAUAAGUAGCGAAAAGGAUUAGAUACCCUUGUAGUUUAUGCUGUAAACUAUGAAUGCUAGAGGUUAGAUAUUUUCUUAUUUGGUCUCUAAGUGAAGAUUUUAAGCAUUCCACCUGAGAAGUACUGUCGCAAGACUGAAACUCAAAACAUUAGACGGUCACAGAGAUCAGCAGUGAAGCAUGUUGUUUAAUUCGAUAACCCACGAUAAAUCUUACCACUUCUUGUAUAGUCAGGUUUAUAUAUUAUUUAUUUAAUAAUAUUCAUAUAUAUUAAUUUUAAUAAUAUAUUUAUUAUUUAUUGAUUACAGGUGUUGCAUGGCUGUCUUUAGUUCGUGUUGUGAAAUGUUAGGUUAAUUCCGAAAACGAACGCAAACCUUAUCUUUAAUUAUUUAUUACUUAAUUGUUUUUUUUUAUUUGUUUAAAUAAAUUUAAAAGUUAAGUUGUUUAUUAAAGAAAUGUCUAUCGAUAUUAUAGAAUAACUAGGAUGAAGACAAGUCCUCAUGACCCUUAUGAAGUGGGCUACAGACGUGCUGCAAAAGUUUCUACAAUGGGAUGCAAAGAUUAAAAUCAGAGCUAAUCCUUAAAAGAUAUUUUAGUCCGGAUAAGUGCCUGGAACUCGGCUCUUUGAAGUUGGAAUUGCUAGUAAUCGUCUAUCACCAUGAGACGGUGAAUCUACCAUCUGUGAUGUACUAACUACUCGUCAAGCGCGGAAAUUUUACAAGAAAUCCAAGUUCUUACGUCAAUUUCUUAGAGAUCUGUGCUAAGUCGAAAUAAGGUAGCUGUAGGGGAACCUGUAGCUGAAUAAUUUUUGUC